RNAcentral lists this ribosomal RNA (253 nucleotides) under uncultured bacterium. Its description in RNAcentral is "partial 16S ribosomal RNA". It matches the Rfam family "Bacterial small subunit ribosomal RNA", at positions 524 to 776 of the family's 1533-position model. The record is from RNAcentral.
UACAGAGGUCUCAAGCGUUGUUCGGAAUCACUGGGCAUAAAGCGCACGUAGGCGGUCUGUUAAGUCAGGUGUGAAAGCCCCCGGCUCAACCGGGGAAUAGCAUUUGAUACUGGCAGACUCGAGGAUGGUAGGGGUGAGUGGAACUCCAGGUGGAGCGGUGAAAUGCGUAGAUAUCUAGAGGAACACCGGUGGCGAAAGCGGCUCACUGGACCAUAACUGACGCUGAGGUGCGAAAGCUAGGGUAGCAAACGGG